This 267-nucleotide long non-coding RNA is filed under the name Mytilus galloprovincialis (Mediterranean mussel). The record is from RNAcentral. Lineage: Eukaryota; Metazoa; Mollusca; Bivalvia; Mytilida; Mytilidae.
CAAAAACUUUGAAUACAAGAUAUAUAGGAUAAAAAAAGAUGAUCAAGGAAAUCUGUUAGGAAUUGAUAUUGAAAUUGAAGGAAAAAGAAUAACUUUGAUAAGCUUAUAUGGUCCAAAUAAAGAUUCACCUGAAUUUUAUUCUAGAGUAAGUGAUACAAUAGAAGACUUGAACAACCAAUCAGUUUUAAUAACUGGAGAUUACAAUUUAGUCCAAAACCAAAAUCUUGAUACUUAUAAUUACCAAAAUGUAAAUAACCCAAAAGCCAA